Erythranthe guttata (spotted monkey flower) is the source of this 107-nucleotide non-coding RNA. The record is from Rfam. NCBI's taxonomy places the organism in Eukaryota, Viridiplantae, Streptophyta, Magnoliopsida, Lamiales, Phrymaceae.
AUUCCAUGUGUUGGACAAUGCCGCAAAAGAAUUUUAAAUCUCUCCCAUGCCUCGUAUAAUUGCUCACCUUGCUGUUGGACAAAAUUAUGAAUUUCUCGUCGGAUUCU